UUCGUCAUUUUAUUCAUUUAGCGAAUUCAAGUCCGCGUGCAAAAUGCACGUCAGGAACCCAGGGGCCACAUAGUCAAAGAUUACACUUGACUCGACAUUGGGAGCUUCACGUUUCUUUAAUCUACAGUAUUUUGCAUCUCGUUGAAAAAUCUACUGUAUUUUGCAUCUCGUUAAAAAAUCUACUGUAUUUUGCAUCUAUACGGCUGUAGUACCAUUCAUCCCUUUCCCCAUUCUCAUUCUCCUCCUGUUCCUUACCUGAUCUAAGGAUUCAUCCACAAUACGUUGCUAGAUCUUGCUAAGAAAAGAGGACAGGGGAGAAGUGGGAUUUGGGGUGGAGUGCGGUGGCUCCAGGCUCCCGGCGGCGGCAUGUCAUCCAGCUCGACCACACGUGCCUGCAGCUCGCCGCCGUCAUCGAUUGGAUGGCCAUGGAGUUGGGUCCACUUGAACAUGAGGGGUGGCACUCCUCUAGAAAUUUUCUGUUGGAGAGAAGGAUUUUUUGCCCCCAAGCAGCAAGGCUUCGAGGUCACCGGAGAAAAUAAGAGAUUCGUUUCACUGAGUGGCGUUGCUCUCCAGUUCGUGGCGCUGGCCUAGAGCUGUGUCGUCGGGUUGGACGGCCAUGUUCUUCAUAGUGUUCUAGGAUAUAACUUAUGUCACUUGCCAUUGAUGUGCCUUGCGUUGUUUUAGGGAAUCGAACCUAUUUUUUUAGUUGACAUUCUGCCCAACUUUGAUUAUUGUCUCUUCAAGACAACCGUAAUAAUUAUAUGAAGUUUCCUAUAGCAAAAAGUGUUCAAUAUUUGUUGGAUAAAAGGUGUGUUCUUUCUAUUUGUUGUUACCAUAUAUUAGCAACUUAUAUUAAUAAUAGGUGUAUUUAAGACAAAGAAAGAAGGCUUGCAUGUAUUCACUGACUUUGGCCCAUAUGUGUUAAUUGAUAUGCAAUAGAUUUUAGUUUUUUCA
Long non-coding RNA from Triticum urartu, 954 nucleotides. RefSeq lists it as uncharacterized. The record is from RefSeq and is a predicted model, not a curated record. NCBI's taxonomy places the organism in Eukaryota, Viridiplantae, Streptophyta, Magnoliopsida, Poales, Poaceae.